Long non-coding RNA from Mya arenaria, 1114 nucleotides. RefSeq lists it as uncharacterized. NCBI's taxonomy places the organism in Eukaryota, Metazoa, Mollusca, Bivalvia, Myida, Myidae. The record is from RefSeq and is a predicted model, not a curated record. The transcript is spliced from 6 exons.
AAUCAAUUGAGAUUAUAUUUACUUAAAGUGUUAUGUGGAUGGUGCAGUCUGUGGAGUGCCAAGUCUGUCAUUAUUUCUCUGUGUUACUGUCAACGUUAUUCGGAACAGGAACAACCCAAGUUUUCCUUGACAAAGCUUAUGAAAUCACACCAUCAGUGAGUUCACAUGUGUUGGGAUGGGCGUUCUACAAGUAAUGGCUGAUGAUGCUGACAAUAUAACCACAUAUCGGACCUGAGCCUUUAUUGGUGGUGAGGUUAAUUCUUCUAGUGUUUGUAUACAUCAUUUCAACAUGGCAGUCAAGGAGGCAAUGGACAAUUUGGGGACAGAGGAAAUGUUGUUUGAUUCGUCCAACUUGAGGCAUCUUGGGCUUAGUUGGAUGCAGCAGACCGCAAACCAUACAUAGGUGCUAGCAUGAUCAACUCAAUUUUUUCUGCCAGUCUUGACCAAGAUGGAGUGCCUACAUCUGAAGUGGGAGGAGCACUGGGGCAGCAGGGGGUCAGGGUUCAAUACAGGAUUACUUCGGCCCACCACCAUUAGAGGGCUCCAUCUACGCACCCUGUCAGUAUGAAGGUAGCAGAGGAUCGGGGGGGGGGGGAGUCCUUGUCAGAUCACGUAUUGCACAGCCCCAUACAGCAGGAAGGGAAGCGAGUUAAAAAUCAAGGAUUUGUGAUGUUUAAAAGAGGAUCUUUCCCACAUGGAGGAAAUGUUCAACCAGACCUGACCCAGUGGACAAUGAUUUUUAUACUGUGAUUGGCGAGGAAGUCUUAUUCGGGCCAAACGCUGCACCGGUAAAGAGCAUGGAGUGUCACAAGGAUGGAUACAGGAGAACAGUACAGUGGAUGAGUAGCAGCAGGGCAGGAACAGUAUUCCAUAUGAGGGAGAAGACAUACAUUGAUUACACUGGCAGUCAGUACCAGCUGAAGCUGAUUUUUGUAGACAUUUCCACCAUGCAGCACCGCAUGAAUGAGGCAUUAGUUGCUAAUUUAGUUGUUCAUUUGUUCUGCCAUAAAAUUAUUAGAUGUAGUUAAUUUUUUAUGCAUUUCAUAUUUCUGUUCAUUUAUUUUAUUAUUUCGGGAAUUAGUCCACCAAUUAUUCAUUCAUGCUUUAGUUUUUU